CCUGGCAGAGCGAUGUUGAUUUGUUCUUUGCCGUCACCUCUUGGGCCAGCAGAGCAAUUGUGUCGGGGUUUGCACUGUACCUGUCGCUGCUCAGGUCAAGCACAUCCACUCCAAGCCACAAAUGCCAGCAGCUUCAAGCUGGACAAUCCACAGUAACUCCUUUCAAAACGUGGGGCUGAUCUCAAACUGG
Molecule: long non-coding RNA, 190 nt
Organism: Passer domesticus (house sparrow)
Lineage: Eukaryota; Metazoa; Chordata; Aves; Passeriformes; Passeridae
Exons: 2
Source: RefSeq, a predicted model, not a curated record